UGAUCCAGCCAUGCCGCGUGCGGGAAGAAGGCCUUCGGUUGUAACCGCUUUGUCAGGGAAGAAAUCUCCUGAGCUAAGUACCUCGGGGGGAUGACGGUACCUGGAGAAUAAGCACCGGCUAACUACGUGCCAGCAGCCGCGGUAAUACGUAGGGUGCAAGCGUUAAUCGGAAUUACUGGGCGUAAAGCGUGCGCAGGCGGUUGUGCAAGACAGAUGUGAAAUCCCCGGGCUUAACCUGGGAACUGCAUUUGUGACUGCACGGCUAGAGUGCGGCAGAGGGGGGAUGGAAUUCCGCGUGUAGCAGUGAAAUGCGUAGAUAUGCGGAGGAACACCGAUGGCGAAGGCAAUCCCCUGGGCCUGCACUGACGCUCAUGCACGAAAGCGUGGGGAGCAAACAGGAUUAGAUACCCUGGUAGUCCACGCCCUAAACGAUGUCAACUGGUUGUUGGGAGGGGUUUCUUCUCAGUAACGUAGCUAACGCGUGAAGUUGACCGCCUGG
Molecule: ribosomal RNA, 499 nt
Filed under: uncultured bacterium
Lineage: Bacteria
Description: bacterial SSU rRNA
Rfam family: Bacterial small subunit ribosomal RNA
Source: RNAcentral